Molecule: ribosomal RNA, 402 nt
Filed under: bacterium
Lineage: Bacteria
Description: partial 16S ribosomal RNA
Rfam family: Bacterial small subunit ribosomal RNA
Source: RNAcentral
UGGGGAAUUUUGCACAAUGGGGGAAACCCUGAUGCAGCGACGCCGCGUGAUUUAGAAGGCCUUCGGGUUGUAAAAAUCUUUUCUAUGGGAAGAAAAUGACAGUACCAUAGGAAUAAGUACCGGCUAAUUACGUGCCAGCAGCCGCGGUAAUACGUAAGGUCCGAGCGUUGUCCGGAAUCAUUGGGCGUAAAGGGUACGUAGGCGGGUAAGCAAGUUAGAAGUGAAAUCCUAUAGCUCAACUAUAGUAAGCUUUUAAAACUGCUCAUCUUGAGGUAUGGAAGGGAAAGUGGAAUUCCUAGUGUAGCGGUGAAAUGCGCAGAUAUUAGGAGGAAUACCGGUGGCGAAGGCGACUUUCUGGCCAUAACCUGACGCUGAGGUACGAAAGAGUGGGUAGCAAACAGG